CCUACGGGAGGCUGCAGUGAGGAAUAUUGGUCAAUGGACGAGAGUCUGAACCAGCCAAGUAGCGUGAAGGAUGACUGCCCUAUGGGUUGUAAACUUCUUUUAUAUGGGAAUAAAAUGUUCCACGUGUGGGAUUUUGUAUGUACCAUAUGAAUAAGGAACGGCUAACUCCGUGACAGCAGCCGCGGUAAUACGGAGGAUCCGAGCGUUAUCCGGAUUUGUUGGGUUUAAAGGGAGCGUAUGUGGAUUGUUAAGUCAGUUGUGAAAGUUUGCGGCUCAAACGUAAAAUUGCAGUUGAAACUGGCAGUCUUGAGUACAGUAGAGGUGGGCGGAAUGCGUGGUGUAGCGGUGAAAUGCUUAGAUAUCACGAAGAACUCCGAUUGCGAAGGCAGCUCACUGGACUGCAACUGACACUGAGGCUCGAAAGUGUGGGUAUCAAACAGGAUUAGAUACCCUGGUAGUC
RNAcentral lists this ribosomal RNA (460 nucleotides) under uncultured bacterium. Its description in RNAcentral is "partial 16S ribosomal RNA". It matches the Rfam family "Bacterial small subunit ribosomal RNA", at positions 338 to 795 of the family's 1533-position model. The record is from RNAcentral.